UAAUCGCUAACAUUAGCUAAGAUGCUAGUUUUUGUAACGGCAGGAAUAAACACAUGGUAACAAAAAUAUUCGAAACAUGUCUAGCUUCCCUUAACACAUUAAUACAGUGUAAUUGUGAAGUUGUAUGGUUCACUGUGUUCAAAAUCUUAAUAACCCUCUUCAUCUCGACCAUCUGAUGGUUGUUAUGGGAAACUAGUUAGCUGUUGUCUAGGGGAAAGUUGUAGUUCACAAAGUGCUCUCACACAAAGUCUAAACGCAUCAAACUUCUGCCCGCUAAAUUGUAGCAUUCUUUACACGGAAAUUUAUAUUAAAAAUUCAGACAACAUAUGUUGACAUUCAUGGCAAAAUUCAAACGGGACCAGAAAAUAAUUAUUUUCUCACUUGCAUUAACGGUCACAUGACAAUUCAGCUCACAUUACACGCCGUUGGACUGGAGCAACGCGAGCUGUUUUCCCAAGAUGGCGCCAGACUGUAUAUGUAAACGCAGGUGCAGGGUGGGUUCCUGGACCAGCUGCUUGCAGUGGUUGAUGCUUUCUUACCCAUUAGGACUGGUCAUCAGCCGCACAUCAGUAUUGGCAGAUGCUACAGGUAAGUACUGACAGCACUCUGAUAACAUUUUCCUGUGAUCUACUCCAACUGGUUUAUUAGAUUGUAGUCGGACUUCCUGGAGGAGGUCUUUUCUCUGGACCUGAGUGCCUACAGCCGUCUCCAGGCCCUCGCCGAGGGGCUCUUCAGCUGUCUAGAGCAGCGGGUGGACCAACUGCUGAGCACGCUCCCAUCACCCUAAUAUCUUUGACAAGCAAUGAUUGAAGGCCUACUGCUCCAGGACCAGGAGUACUGAGACAAAAUAGCUCUUCAAGAAUGGCAAGGAAUACGUGCCCAGGAAGACCAGGAAUAUAAUGAAAGUUUGUUGGUGGAUCAGGAGAAGGCUAUUGAGGCAAGACGUCAGCGAAUGUCUGCAUGUAAGGAACCCUCAGAUGGGGUGUUAACCAAAUGGAUACAUCAAUAUGAGGAAAUUCAGCUUGUCACAGCCCAUCCAGACCUUGUUUGACUUUGUGGGACAAGAUGAUAAUGCCAGUGAAGUCUUUGUGAUACAAGAAGCCACAUCAUCAAAACCAAGUGAAAGCAGUUCCUUUGGGUCAAUAAUGGAUAAUGGCAUACAAGCAUCCUCUACUCUAUAUGUACUUUGGUUUUCAAAUCAGGAUGUACAGGAGAUUCUCUCAGAUCAACAAAAUGAUGGAGCUGGUCAGCCACCACUGUCUGAGACCUCCACCCAGUCAAGUUUCUCUGUGCCCUCUCUCCAGCCACCACUGUCUGAGACCUCCACUCAUGGUCAGCAAAAUUGAUGGAAGCUUCUGUCCAACAAGCAACCAAAUAAAUGUGUGCAGGGAUAACGUUUUACUGUGUAGCCUGCGGGCGUUCAAGCGCAGGUUCUUUAAUCCUGAAGCAAAAUUGGAUGUUGUGUUUGUGGAUGAAGAUGACAAUGGUGAGGGGGCAGUUGACGAAGGCGGCCUGACAAGAGAGUACUUAAGGCUGUUGAUGAGGGCCGUCCAGUCAAUUAUCUUUGAGGGACACGAGAAAGAUCGACGGUUGUCUCUUGAUACACAAGCUUUGCAGACUAAACUUUAUAUGUGGGUGGGAAAAUGAUUGCUGUGUGUGUCGUCCAUGGAGAAGUCGGUCCACACUUCUUUUCCGAAAGGCUUUUUCAUCAAAUCUGUGGGAUCCCAACACCCCUGUCCACGGUGGAUGAAGUUGGUGACCAUACGUUCAGGGAGCAGUUAAAUAAACUGGCUUCUCUGGAUCAGAUUAUUAUCAUGCUGGUGUGAAUGAUCAUUGGGCUUGCUCCACACGGAGGCUGGCUACAACACCUGCACUCUCCAAUAAGCAUCGGCUCACACUGAAGGACGAAGGUAGAGAAAGGAAAGGACUUCCAUCCAUCCAUCCGUGAGCGGUGCUGCACUUUACUGUCUGGUCGAGGAGAUUUCUCGGGACAGCUGGACCUAGAUGCUACUCUGCGAAAGAUCUACUGCGGCCGCCGAGCUGCUGCAGACCUGCGAGCUGCCAUCUGCCUUGCCUGGAGUCUGGAUUGUGCAGACUAGCUUCUAGCUGCUAACGUUUGAAACUAUGUUGAAGAACUGCAAUCUCUCGGAGCAUCAAACUGUCGCUGUCAUAAGCCGGUUCAGACGGUUAUGCCAGAGAGGGUUAAAGCAGAGCAUCAAGGAUCUUUGAUUAUGCUUCCAGUAAUCUAGACCAGUGGUUCUCAACCUUUUUUCAGUGAUGUACCCCCUGUGAAAUAUUUUUUCAGCCAAGUACCCCCUAACCAGCACACAAGAAUUACGCUUCAACCACGAGUCCAUCGUUUGAGUUUUGACAGUGAUUGACAGGUGAUGGCGGGUGGCAUGAGACAGGUUGGGUCGAACCAUCCUGGUAUGAGGGGGACUCUGGGUUUUUAGGAUAAUGAAAUUGAA
Molecule: long non-coding RNA, 2468 nt
Organism: Alosa sapidissima (American shad)
Lineage: Eukaryota; Metazoa; Chordata; Actinopteri; Clupeiformes; Clupeidae
Exons: 9
Source: RefSeq, a predicted model, not a curated record